CAAAAGGCUCUUUUAAGAGCCACCUCAAUAUGUCUUAAAAGAUCGAU
Danio rerio (zebrafish) is the source of this 47-nucleotide non-coding RNA. Lineage: Eukaryota; Metazoa; Chordata; Actinopteri; Cypriniformes; Danionidae. The record is from Rfam.